AACAAGCUCUCUCUCUCUACACAAGGAGGUCAGCCAUAGCAAGGGAAAGGCUCCUAGCACUCUCCUCUCUCUUAUUAUAUCAUCCUUCCAAGGACAGCUUUGGUAUGGUAAAGUUGGAGGUUGCACACUUUGUGCACUUUGGUAAGAACUCAUCCAAGGGAGCCAAGAUUUUGAACUCAAGCAUCCUUGCUUGAGAUUGGUCUUCAAGGGUAUGUACAUCUUUCCCCUCCUUCUUACAUUUAUAAAAUAUGGAGUCUUGAGUGUACCAACACUUAGAAUCAAAAGAUCCAUGGAAUAGGUUUAGGUUAAAGCUCUAAAAUCAAUCAUUUGCUUCUGUUGCUUCUCUUCAAUUUUUUUGUGUUUCAGUGGCUUAACCAACGUAAAAAAAUUUAGAGCAUUCUUCAUCUAGUGCAUUAUAUGUUUUUGGACCCUACCUGCACAACUUUGUUCUUGGUCCCUCAAGCCCAAAAUGCAUCUUACUAAGGGAGAUGAACUCUGCACAUAUAAAGCAUUUAACUUGCCCCCACCCAAGCGAUGUGGGACUAUGGAACCACUCAUGGUUGUCACAAUCCACCCCCUUGGAGGCUUGACGUCUUUAUCGACACAUUUUCAGUUCGGUUCAUCUUUGAUACCAAAUUGUCAUAGUCCACUCUCUUAGUAAGAUAUUGUCCACUUUAGGCCCCUUCAACAUAGAUUUGUUCUUGGGCCCUCAAGCCCAAAACUUAUCUUACUAAGGGAGAUGAACUCUACACAUGUAAGGCACUUUACUUUCCCUCACCCAAGUGAUGUGGGACUAUGGCACCACUCCUGGUUGUCACAGCAAGGCCUUGGCUUGCUUCAACCAUGAAGCUAUUGAAGAAUCGUGCACAUGAUCUCAAUGUAUUUAUAUAAUAUAAUAUCAAAAUUGAUCCCUUUUUUCGAUUCAACCCAUAUCGUCUUGGUCACUCCUUCUAGCCACAUCUCAAACUUCAAGCCCGGCCUUAGGCUUGAUCAUCUAUCAAGUCACAUAAUGUUCCUUUGGGCGGAUGUAGCCCAAUCUCAAACAUGUCCAUUAAUUCCAUUGUUGUAUCCCCCACAACUUCCACAUGCAAAGAAGUCAUAUUCAAUUUUCCUUUUUUUCUUUUCAUUUUUCAUUUGUUUUUUGGGUUUUUGACUAUUGGGUAUUUUAAUUUUAAUUUUUUUAGUUUAAAAUUUUUAAAUCAUUUUACAAUAUUUUAUUUUAAUUUUUAAUUACCUUGUUAAUAUUUUAAUUCAAAUUGAUGAUUAUAGCCCUCAAAUUAAUGGUAAUAUUGACGAAAUUUAACGGUGGAACAAUUUAGCAUGAAAGAGAGAAUUUUAGUAUCAUUGGCGUUGAAAAAUUAGUUUGAGGACCAAAGUGGAAAUCAGACAGAAGUUUUAAGGACUAUUUCAAUUAAAAACCUUUUUUUUUUAAUUUUUUUUUUGAGAAGGAGAAUUCAUUCAUAAAACCACAGACGUACAAAAAACGACGUGAUAUAGUGGCCUCGUAAAAACCUUCCUAGGACAACCUUAUGGGACAAACCUCAGGGGAGGAAAGAGUACCACAGAUGUCCUGGACUAACAAGAUAGUCCAAUUCAGGUCACUUUGGACCAUUACAAUAAAAGAACAAGUCAGAAACAAAAACUAACACAAAUACCUCCGAUGAAAACCGCAACUAGAGACCAAUACAGUAGACCCACAUGAGAGGACCUCAGAAAUCCCAAAUAGUAAACCCACAGGAGAGGGCCACAGAACAUCCCAGUUGUCAAAAGAAGCCUUCUGUGAGCAAAAUCAUAGUCAUUUGACACCCAUACAAACGGUAAGGCAUACCAUAGCAGAAACCAGGAGAAAACACGAAGGAGGAACACAGAAACAACAGUAAAAAGAUCCCUGAGAAGCACUCCACUUCAACUCAGAACCUGACAAAGAAAACCUCCUAUGACCAAGCAUAGUUCUUCAGUCGGCGCAAAGUAAAGAAAAGCACCACAUCCCAACAACUACCACCAGCGUCGCUGCUGCCGUCUUUGUUAAACUAGAGACAACACAUCAGCUACCAGGUAUCACAACUCUCCCAAGGACAGACAUAAUGCGAGUCACUACUGUCAUCGCCGUUGAGACAAAGACAGCAUCAGUCACCUAGAACACUGCAAAACCAACCAAACGAAACAAACAGACAAACAUACCUAGAUCUAAACAGAUCUAGACUAUCUGGGGAGGGGAAGGGGAGAAGAAUAGGGGAUAAGAGGAAGGGAAAAUAUGGGAGAAAAAGAAAGGAAGAUAAGGAAAGGAAGGGGAAGAUGGGCAGAGAGGAGGAGGGGCAGUGGCCACCUCCCCCCCUUAGCUUCCUUGUGGUUGGUUGUCAGCAAGAAGAAAGGGGACCAGAGUGCGGCUAGACCCUUAUUGUUAUUAUGUUUUUAAUACAAGCAAUAUUGGAAGAAAAUAAUUUGAACAUAGGUCUUUAGGUGUACGAGUAAUUUCUCUUAACAAUUUUAAACAAAAUAUUUAAAGAAAAGCAAUUUUUGCUUUGAAGCAAUAAUGGAAGCACUUAACAAGCUCUAUAUCAACGCCAACGGGGUCAAGCGAGCCUUGACUUACAGGUUAGUGGUCUCAAGUUUGAACAGCAUUUCAACCCCACGGCACCUUGGUAAUGUGUGAGAAACUCUCUUCCCUUCCUAACUUUGGCAAAAAAAGAAAAAAAAAACAUGUCUAUUAACAAUAUAUGGAGUAAAAGGAUUACAAUUAAAAGAGGAAAAAAAACAUUGUGCAACAAGAAAUGGAAAAUUUGACACGGUUUCUUCUCUCUCUCUCUCUUGCUGAGGUAUUAGUGAUUUUGUUUCUAGAAAAGACUAGGACAAGAAAUAAAAGUAGCGAGUUACUCAACUCACAAGUAAUUGCACAAUCCACAUAGAAUUAGGAAAAGAAAAACAGAAACCUAUAAGUACCAACUAAAACCAUCACAAACCCUUGCUCUCCCUAAAUAAUCAUCACACACAACUCACCUUUCUCUCUCAAUCGCCUCUCGCCUCUCUCUCUCUCUCUCUCUCUCUCUCUCUCUCUCUCUCUCUCUGUAAUAGAAUGAAAUCAAGUUCAAGCAAAGCCUAAGAGGAAAGGAACUUCCACAAAGUGCAAAGUGCAAAAUGCCAGAGAAAAGUUUCAAGGAUCCUAAGGAGGACAUAAAUUUAAUAGAGACUAGUAUAUUUGAAACGGCGUUCCUACUGUGCCAAAGAGUUAGGGAAACUUCGGUGAUGAUGCGGACAAGUUUUCAGAAUUCCUGGCGCAACGGCACAUGUGUAGCCAACAGAGAGUCAAUUUGACCAAGUUUUUAAACUUGGUGGACGACUCUGUUCGAGCAGAGAACGCCUUGUGAACGAUCAUGAGGAUUUCUUGGAGAACUGCGGAAGGGCACAGAGCCAUUGGUGGCGCAAGCGUAAAUAUUUGAAUUGAAGUUGGACGAUUUUUUGAAAAAGUUUAGUUUUAGUUUUAGUUUUACCACUUAUGUAGGAUGUUUUAAAGAAUUGAUAGUAACGAGUUAUAUAACAACUUAAUUCUUCGUGAGAUUAUAACUGUGUUCAAGAUCAUCUUUUUGAGAUUAUAAAAGUUCAAGUUCAUCUAUAUAUAUAAAGCAAAAGGCAGAGAAUGGUGAAACAUUCAAAAUACCAGAAAAUGCCAUUUGUUAAUUCAAACAUUAAGAAUUGAAAUUAUUAAUUAAAUGAGGAUAAUAUGGUAAAUUCACAUUUUUUAAUAUUAAAAAAAUUAAAAUUAAAAACAAAAUAAGAUAAUAGGUCCUACUUUUAUGGAACACUAGCCUCUCUGCACGCGCUUCCGCGCAUGCGAGAGGUUUUUUUUAAAAAAAAUGGAAUUGAAUUUUAUGAUCAAUUAAGGAGAUGGAUAGGCAUCCGCCACACGAUACUCACUCCUGAUCGAUGGCCUUCUUUUGCGACGAAUUCUGUUGCAUACACCAUAUCGGGCCAGCUCCACAUGAUGCUCAUUCCAAGCAUAGCAAGCUGUUGGUGAAAUGAUCGUGCACUACGUGCAGUGCCCGGUAUUUAGUGUGGUUCAUCUUACAGUGGGCUUCGNNNNNNNNNNNNNNNNNNNNNNNNNNNNNNNNNNNNNNNNNNNNNNNNNNNNNNNNNNNNNNNNNNNNNNNNNNNNNNNNNNNNNNNNNNNNNNNNNNNNCGAGAGUUGGACGUUUGAGGAGAGAGAAAGAAAAGAGAGAAAACUGUUGCUGUACUAAAUAUGAAAUACUCACCAUCAGCGCCUUAGCCACCGAGAAGAAGACAUCUUCCCACGGUCUGGACCCUUGUUUCACUUGAAUCCGAUAAUGGAUAUUUGUGUUCCAUAAAAAUAGGACCCAUUAUCUGAAUUUUCUUUUAAUUUUAAUUUUUUUAAUACGAAAAAUUGUGAAUUUACCAUAUUAUCCUCAUUUAAUUAAUAAUUUCAAUUCUUAAUGUUUGCAUUAAUCAAGGGCAUUUUCUGGUAUUUUGAAUGUUUCACCAUUCUCUGCCUUUUGCUUUAUAUAUAUAGAUAACUACCCUGUUAUCUUUUAUUAAUUCUAAAAAUAAAAUAAAAAAGAAAAAAAAAACCAAUUGGCACAUGCGUGAGCAUGUGUCAAGGGGCUAGUAUAAGAUUAGAGAACAAGUUAUUUAAAGGCAAGGUUUCUGCUUUUGGCACGAUCUUUCACUUCCUCCCAUGUUUUAUAGGCAGUUUCUCCACGAUCUUUCUGUUUCCCCCAUGUUUUAUGGGCAGUCUGUUCUGUAUUUAUUGUUGGGCUGCCAUCAGUCUUGUCUACUUCGAGUUUUCCUUUGGCAUUUUCUUGUCUCUUGUUUGGCAUACUCAGUACCUUCUUCUUCUACUUCUUCUCUACAUCUUACUGAUGCAAAACAGGACGGGCUUGUUGUUGAUUUGGCCACCUUGAGGAUCUCCGCUCUAACUAUUGCUCUUGUUUGGUGGGCAAAUUAGCCACUGAUCGUCCUUUUCGUAAAGAGAAUUUCCAGAGUACCAUGUUUCGCCUUUGAAAUUUGCUCGAGGGUUAGUGAUCCAUGAGGUUGAUGACAAUCGCUUUCUCUUUCAUUUUUGUUAUGAUGAGGAUCACCUACGGGUGUUGGCUAUGGAGCCUUGGUCUUUCAAUCGUAUUUUGCUGAUCCUAGCCCUUACUGAUGGUGCAACACCCGUUCUUGAAAUCCCUUUGCAUACUUGUUCUAUGUCUAUUCUUGGUAUGACAGCCACCAUGGCUAAACUCAUUGGUAACCGGUUUGGCACUUUUUUGGAAGUUUCCACUGAGGAUGCUGGUGAUUGUGUGGGACGAACUUUACGUUUUCGGGUUCGCUUUGAUAUUUCUCAGCCUCUUAUGCGGUAUGAAUAUCUAUUUUAGCCGCAAUAGCCCUAGUUGGGUGGAAUUUACCUAUGAACGAUUACCUGCAUUCUACCAUAAUUGUGGACGCCUCUUGCAUGGUACUAGGGAUUGCUCUCACCCUUCAACAUCUGAAAGUUUGAGAAGGGAAACCUUAUGGUAUUUGGAUGAAACAUUCUUUUGACUCUUAUCCACACGAGCCUUCAUGUAGUGGUACUCGGAGAGGACUAUCUUCCUCACUGGAACCUCUUGACCAGGAUGGUUGUUCGGAGCUGAUAAUUCAAGCCGAGGUGCAACAUGCAGAUUCAGGGGAGCAGUUGCAAACAAUUGGUGGCUCUCAGGUAGUUUUUCCUUUGAAAGUGGUUGAACAACAGUUGCUUUUGCCAUCUCAUCAAGGACAGUUGCGCAUCUUUGUCUCUAAUACUCCUGAUCUAGUGGACAAUAUGGCAAUUUUAACUCUAGCUGCUGACUCCCAUCCAGGAAGGUUUUCUGGCAAAUCCUAUUUGCCUACUCACGUUUUAGUUUUUUUUCUUCUUUAUAAAAUGAUAUUUUAAACUAUUCUAAUGUACGAGAAAGGGAAUCGAACUCAAGCGCAAGAAGGUGAUCGUACUACCCCAACUAGCAAUACAUGUAAUUUCAUUAAAAAGAAAAUCAAAUCGUAUUCACCCCUGCAGCGUGUUAAUAUUUAACCAUUUGUCCAGUUGACAUAUUUAUGGAAUUGUACUAAACUACAAGAAUUAAAAAUGCAAUUGGGCAUUUUGUUCAUCUGGAUUGUUAAGAGAUUAUCAGUAACUAGUGCCUGGCCUAAUUGUUCAACCCACCUCUACUAAAAAAGAACCACACAAACAAAAAUGAAAAUUCGUUGUCUGAACACUGCAGUGAAUAACAAAAUAAGAAAUUAAGGUCAAGGUUCAUAGUUGUGAACAAGAAAUUAAGCUGCUUCUUGAGGCUGAGCACCUUGACUCCUUCUGUCGCUAACUGCUCCCUUAGGUUUUUUUGAAGCCUUCUCAAACUUAUUCCAUCUAUAACACACCUAAUGCCUCUAAUCCCCCAAAUACAAACCGAUACACCCGAAACACAACCUCCACUCCAACUCAUAAAGAAGGGCUUCUUCUUAUAAUAAAAUUCACUCACCACCACCUACACUUGAGUUCUCUUUUUGGUUUGUAACUUUAAUUAACUUUGAAUUGAAUUUUUCUUUAGAUUGUGAAUGCUUGAGAAGUUGAGGUUGAGGUUGUGAAUUUAUAUAUGCUUGAGAAGUUGAGGUUGUGAAUUUAUAUUUUUUGGUUAAAGUAUGCUUGAACUCAAAAAGCUUCAAAAGAAGCAUCAAACCUAGGCUUAGAAGUGUAGAAGAUUGAAUUUUUAUGACACAAAAAGACCACACUUAAAAUCUAAAAUUGUCUAAUUUAGGCCCAAAAUAUUCAAAUCGGUUUAAACCGUUAAUUCACGGUAACCGACCGAUUUUUGCGGUUUAACGCAAUGCGGUAAACCGCAAAAAGCAGUUGGUUUGCGGUUUUAAAAAUCACCUUACUGCAAAUAGUCGAUCCUUUUGCGGUUCGGAGAAAAAGCGGUUCAGAGAAAAAUUCGCGGUUACCAAACCACAACCACCCCUACGAUUUUCAUAGUUUGACUAUUAAGUUUUCUAUUAAACGAUGACGUGGUAUUCAUAGAAUUCACACAUUGCUACACAAAGUUUUUUUUUUCGUCUUAAUCUUAUACAGGGACGGACCUAAGACAUGCUAACCUACGUUAUAGCCCAUAUGUCUUGAUUUUUUUAACCCAAAAUUAAUAUUCACUCAUCAACGCUCAUGCACUCAAACCACCUUUGCUCAUCUAACAGUUGAUUUUUAAAAAGUUAUACUCACACUCAUCAUUGAAGUUGCUCCAACUACUCAGCAUGAUUCGAUAUUGUUUGUGCAAUUAAUACCUAUGGCAAUUUUUAGAAAAUUAAUAUCAAAGAUCAAUUGCCAGUGGCGUCCCAGCUACCAUGGGACACAUGCAACACAUGCAAACAUCAUUAAAGCUAAGGACAAUCAAGAAAUAUAAAUCUCUGCAUGCAACACAUGCAAUGAUGUCUGAGUCUGUGAGGUAGCAUCAACCUCAUGCCUUGUUAAAUCUGUGUAUGUACAUAUAUUGAGUGUCGAACCAUCCCAUCCCAAUUUACAAAUUUGCAAAUGCCAUCCAUCCCAUCCCCUCACAUAUGUGAUUUUGAGAUUCAAUUUUCCCUUAGAGGUAUGAUAGUCUAAUUGCUUAUACUUGCUUCUUGGCACGAACCAUUUGAUGUUGUAUGGAGCCUAUGAACAAGUGGCACAUAAUUCACUGGUAUUCUGAGCAAGUGGCACAUAGAAAACUUUCCCUUUUCUAACAAGUGCAUUUUAUUUUAUUUUUAGUUACAUCGAUAAGGGGGAGGGGGCACAUACUCUUUGGGAUUCAAAAGUAGGUCAUUGGGGGGGGGGGUUGGAUUGGCUAAUAAAUGGGCUAGGUGGUUGUUGUUUUACACAGACACAUAUUAUACAUAGUGAUAUAUAUAUAUAUAUUUCGUCCUCUUCUUAUGUUAUGUGUUAUGUGCAGGAGGAGCAUUGGAUCCACUAAUGGAUCAACCGUCUCUAUAACUUAUGUGACG
This 7971-nucleotide long non-coding RNA is filed under the name Prunus persica (peach). RNAcentral's name for it is "long non-coding RNA (PPER_LNC007153)". The record is from RNAcentral. Lineage: Eukaryota; Viridiplantae; Streptophyta; Magnoliopsida; Rosales; Rosaceae.